Molecule: long non-coding RNA, 632 nt
Filed under: Fukomys damarensis (Damara mole-rat)
Lineage: Eukaryota; Metazoa; Chordata; Mammalia; Rodentia; Bathyergidae
Description: lncRNA (ENSFDAG00000023416.1)
Source: RNAcentral
GGUCGCUCGCCAGAGGCUUCGCGGGAUUCCCGCCUCCCUUCUGCUUCCCGCUUCGGGGCUCUCCCUCCGUCUGGCCCCUACGUGACCGUGACCGUGACCCAGGGCUCGCUGCUGGACUCCGGAAAACUGAGGCGAACACAGGUGGCUCCGGAAAGAUGGGGCCAGGCGUGUGUAACCGGAGAAGGAGCUUCGGGGAUAACUAGAGCGCAAAUAAGAUCAGACUUUCUUUCCUGCGUCUCUAGCUCCUCUUGGGGGCCAUCACUAGCCCAGAGUAACCUCGCUUUUCUGGGUUUAAGGGUAAAGCCAGGCAUGCUAAAUGUGCCUCUGGCUGAAGGUAUUAACUGGGGCUUAUUUUGCAGAAAACAUGGGCAGUUCUGAGCAACUCACAGAAUCUUAGCAGCUUCUGAAAUCCCACACUCAAUAAAGGAUUGAAAAACAAACACACCUUCUGUAUAUUUCAUUGAGGAGGUAAGUACUAUCUCAUUGAUUUAGUUUUGACUGUCCUUUGAAGAUUUAAAGGGAGAGAUAACACUCCAGAUUGACAGUAUUUAUUUGUUGUUGUUUUAACACAUUCUUGUUCUGAGCAUGAACUUUAAAAAAAAAUUUCCAGGUGCUUAAACAUAUUUUCCUGC